Long non-coding RNA from Sebastes umbrosus (honeycomb rockfish), 5041 nucleotides. RefSeq lists it as uncharacterized. The record is from RefSeq and is a predicted model, not a curated record. NCBI's taxonomy places the organism in Eukaryota, Metazoa, Chordata, Actinopteri, Perciformes, Sebastidae. The transcript has 5 exons.
UCUCUCUCUCUCUGUGUUGUAAUCUGAGCUUCUCCGUGCUUUGUUGACAUCACCAGGCGCGUGCUUUAGUUCAUACUCGUGCCUGUGAGUGUGCCCCACUGGCUAGCUCACAUAUUAAAUCAUAUAUUAAACUCUCUGCAGUAGCCUAUGUGAGUAAAAAUAGUUGUGAAUGCCAGUUAAUUUAUUAUUUUCCUCUUCACCAUGAGUCUGUUAGCUACUGUAACAUUUCAUGGUUAACCUUGAACCAGUCACUCCACAUGUUUCAGACCGGGUCCAACAAAAUGAUCAGGAAUUAUCAGUAAAUUUAUGUCUGUAGUCUUGAAUCCAUUCAAACAUCAUAAUUAAUCUACACCAGCACCAUUAAACGUAUGCCAAAUUAGCUGUUAAAAGUUGACAAUGUACACAUGGAUGUUCAAACAACUAUCAGACUUAAAAAAAAAGACUUAAAGAUUUCAUGGUUCUCAGGCAAGUCCGUGAGUUAUAAGGAGCAUCUUUUUCUAAGACUUUUAAGCAGAUUUAUGCACAUUAAUUUGUGAUGGACACCGGAUCUCCCCCCUCCCCCUUUUACUUGGAUACUGUUCACAAGUGACUUCAUUUACUGAAAUCCAUCAAAAGAUGUUUUUCUGCAUGUCAUUCCCGUUCUCAUCAUUUUCUCACUCUCAACUGUAAACCAUGAAUCAAACAGGAUGUUCACAGUGCUUUUACACAAAACAUAAGGGUCUCCUGUUUUGAGACUGUGCUAUGAAAUUCUAAACACCGUGAGGAAAAAAACGAAAUAACAGAAGCCUUUGACAUCCAAUGAGGGCAGAACAUUGGCUGUCAAUGUGAAUCACUUGGCGUGGGCUUCGUCUUUCCCGAAAUUCUGCGGCAAAAAAUGUGUGAGUAGGGCGGAAGGUAUGCAAAUAUCCUCUUAGACACAAAUAUGAAGUCGCUGUUAACGGAUGGGUUCAGACGGAGAAUGAAUCGAGGCAAGACAGUAGACCAACUGAGCGCGGGCGAGAGUGUGAGAUUGAGUGGCAUAGAGGGUCUCCGUCGGACAUGUAGCCAUGCGUAGCCAUGAGAACACAGCGCCUUUGUGCGGAAGAAUGUCGUUUUCAUAACAGCGCAUUUCUUCGGGGGUGACGGCGGACCAGCUUGGUCCAUCUGCUGAGCCUUUGUCAAACUAUCUUGCACUCCUUAAGCAGAAAAGAGGGAAACACGAUUAGCAUGCACCCCGCACCUUUUGCCACCACCCCUCUUUCCGCACACUAAAUGCCUGCACGUCCACCCUCCUCUCUCUCUCAUCACCCUCUUCCACAUAUUCCUCUCUCUUCAUAACUGGAUUACGGGUGGUAGAGGAGGGUCCAUUGUACAUUGUUGUGGCUUUCCCUGGUUCAAAUCCUCUUCACAAAGUGGGCGGGAGGGAACCGGGGAAGCCAGCAGGCACCUUUUGGGCUGUGAGGGGAGUUGUUGAGGUUGUGAAUGGACUAAGGGCACCGAGAGGCCCUCGCUGAUGUGGUGGCAUGAAAUACAACAAGCCAGAGUUCACUCACCCCCCGAGCUCUGGCAGGUUGUUCUUUUCGAAGGUUGAACUUCUCAUUAUGGUUUUCUACAUUCUCUCCACAUCUCCUUUUGUGAGUGUGUGCAUGUGUGUGUGUGUGUUUUUGUGUGGCUGGGUCAGUGGGGUGAGGGCCAUGUUUUGAGCUCGCACACUUAGCGCAGUUAGCCAGGCAUGCAUACUAACUGCAUAAAAGAUGUGGUUUAUUUUACAUUUAUCGACUGAAAUUGAACCAGAAGUCUCAAAAAUAUUUUUCACAUUUCCAUUUUUUUUGUGGGGGGCCUGAGAUCCCAGUAAGUAAGAGAUUUAAUAAAUUGUGCUCUCAAGUUUGUAAUAUGUGCUUUUAAAUAACUUAAUUUGUGUUAAUGAAUUAAAUAUGUGCAUACUAACAGACAUGCCCUUAAGCAAUAUUCCUAACAUUUUAACAUAUGUCAUGUUUUUAAACCACCACACACCCUCAAUAUAUCUACAUAUUUCGAUAUUUGGAUUAGAUUGUCCAUGGCAACUUUUACUGUUUAUUUUGCAUUGCAUUAACAUUGGGCUACACAGUGUUAUAUGUGCACCUUAUAGCAGCCUUUAAUGCUGAAACACAAUACAGUGUAGCAUCGCAGCUGUGAAAAACAAGUCUCAAGGGUAGGAGGGAAAAUGUAAUCAAUGCAAUAACCGAACAAUGUUGAUUUAAAGGAAAGAAAUCAGUAUUUUUAUAGGAGUCUCAAUAUCAAAACACAUCGUCUAGUCUACCACAAACACUCUGGGUGCUCCUCUCUAACUGACCGGAGCUAUAACAGCAUGUAACUUCACUUCCUGCUGUUACAAUAACUUCACCCUAAUUCAACGCUCUGUAUAUUUUUUCUGGAUGAAUGCUAACAGUGUUAAUUCAUUAUUUACAUAUUGUCAGAGUUACGUUUUGAAUGGAAACUUUUUCCAACUUUUAUUUCAAGUGAUUACGACUACUGGAGCCGCGAGCUUUGUUUCAGAGUGUGGACGUGGCUGGAUGCUGGAUGUCGCUGGUGCUGCGAAGAGAGGGAGAGGAGGCAACCGUGUAAUCCCAGUCAUUAGUGGGUUUUAACAGGAUUUGGUGCAGCUACAAUAAUGGAGACUCUAGUGGCCUCCACUGCGAGACCCAAAGAGACCCGACAGGGAAGAACUGGGGCCACAGAGGCUCGACUGUUCCAGAGGACUCAACUGAGAGAAGGAUCAAUGGCGGUUGUCCGGCUCGUUUCUAAUCUGAGGCAGCCAUUCCAGUUAUUCGGGGGGUCACAUACCUCGGUAGCCAUGUGUCAGAAUUCCCGUCGGCUUUGAGCGAGGAUGCAAGUGCGGGGCCGACGCACCAGCUAAACUGGAAAAGCAGACGCGGGAUAUAAGCGGGUGGCCUGCAGGGACCGAAUAAGAGGUGUGAUGGUUUUCUGUCGUUGUAUCCAUCUGGUGCAGUUUUCACAUCUCACAGCCUCCUGCUUCUUCAUAAUAGGUUCCAUUAUGCUAAGUGAUUGAGUCUGUGUCCUCGCUGAUAACUGGCUAGCUGGCCUUCCGUUCCACAGCAACGGGCCUAUCAGAUCUGACUGAGCAUGAUGCUAAUCUCUAUUAAGAUGGUUCAAGGUAAAGUCACCCUCCCAACCAAAGGGAAAUGACAGCCAGAGAGCAUCGCUGGGUGAGUACCCAAAGACUUUUAUUUGCAACACUGAAUACCAUUUGUAAGAGAGCCCUGGUGACUGACUUCUACAUAGAUCCACAGAUUACAAUAACGCUGUGAUUUGAACUGUUUUUCUCGUCACUCAAGUGUAACAAAGACACAUUGACACUGAAGCACUGAAGCUGUGUAUAAUCCUUUAAAAGCAACACUACUACUACUUUAUCAUCACUAGAUUUGUGUUUUUCUUUUUACUCUGUGUAUGGACAUCCGAUAAUCACCGCCCUCGACUCACAGAUAAUCAUCUUACCCUUAUAUGCACUGCUUUCCCAGUAUAUAUAACUGCUGCAUUUGCAUCUAGAGCUGCUGCUGCUGUAGAGCUGAGGAGAUGCAACAACAACACAAGCUAAUCCAAGCAAUGUGCCUCAGAGGGGUUUAGCUCAUGGGAGGGACUUAGAGGAGAGUGUGAGAGAGAAGGAGAGAGAGAGAGAGAGAGAGAGGAGAGGGACUCAAAGCAGUCAUUGUCCCUCCAGGAGCAGAUUAACUAUUUUAAAAGCAAAGGUGACGUCGAUCGUCGACUCGCUGUGCAGGCCGGGCAAACGCUCUCCAACUCCGUGUGAGAUGCCGUUUCUCUUUUCUAAUUGUUUGUCUCUCUUUUUCUCUUUCUCUACGGUGCACUCUUCCCUGAGCAAACACAUCUUUUGCUCCGUCUUUAUCUUUCUCAGCUCACUCUCCCUCCUCAUGUGCUCUUUCUUUCUUCUCAUUUAAUCAAGUAGGAGGCCGGGCAGUAAGCUCACUGAGAGCGGCUCCGGCAACAAUCAGAAUCUCCUGUGCAGGGAGCUGAGCCAAGGCCACGAUGAAACACCGGGGGCGCAGGGAGGACUGCCGAUUAAAAGUGGCUCCAAUGAGUGAAUGGGGGCCGUGGGGACUCUGCCCACGGGGGAGCAGCACAAAAUGGGUGACGAGAAAAAGGGGAGAGUACACAUGGGAUGCAGAGGAGCAGAGGGGGAUGACACUUGAGAGAAGAGGGAGGGGAAAGUAGGGCAUGAGGGAGCAGAGAAUGGGGUGUAAAUAUGAGGGUGUCUUGUGAAUGUGUGGGGGGGAUGAAGAGGGGUGAGGUGAGGAGGCGCCACAAAUAAUCUACACAAGGGAGUAAUGAGAUAAGUGCUAGACUAGAAGGAGAGAAGGUAGGGGCGAGGAAAGAGAGGGCGCUACACACAGGAUACACUCGUGUUUACUUAAAGGAAAACAAAGACUGGCACGGAAAAGCAUGGCAUGGAAAUGCAAAUAAAUCCCCCCUCGCAAACCAAAGUGUUUUUAUUAACUCUACGAAGCAGCAUGAAAGAUGGAGGGAGGCCAGGGAGAAGUAAAAAAGCAACACUCCAAUCAUCUCAUUUCUCUUGCCUUUUCUUCCUGAAUAUGUAAGAAUGUGUAAACAACGUUGUAAUAAUUCGCUAAGGACUCAUACUUUCCUCACUCCGCUCUCCUCGCACAACAGUGCUCUUGUGCGAUCUGCAUAAUGCAUGAGCUCUGUGUAUAGAUCGUCAAGGGAAAAAUUGGGCACGGCACUAACAAUGGGAAGCAAGCGAACUUUAUGUAUAUGUGCAUAAUAUGUAGUCCUGAUGAAUUAUUACAUAAGCCCUUCAGCGCUUUCCUGGAUAAACUGUAGGAGUGCUCUUUCUUCGCAGUAUGAAGACAUCCCACCUUUAAGUGUUCACUGAGAAGAAACAUCCUGUUGAUACACUCCAGCACUCCUGCACAUAGGGACACACACACACUAGAUGAACAUGCUGCACAUGAACGCACAUGAAGGCCUUUAUGUCGUAUCUGUCAUUCUCUCUCUCUCUCUCUCUCUCUCUCUCUCUUGCUUUUUCUCU